GGGCCUCUAGCUCAUGGCGGUUAGAGCUCUCGACUCAUAAUCGAGCGGUACCGGGUUCGACCCCCGGGGGGCCCACCA
RNAcentral lists this transfer RNA (78 nucleotides) under Ralstonia solanacearum. RNAcentral describes it as "tRNA-Ile". It matches the Rfam family "tRNA". From Rfam's summary of the family: Transfer RNA (tRNA) molecules are approximately 80 nucleotides in length. Their secondary structure includes four short double-helical elements and three loops (D, anti-codon, and T loops). The record is from RNAcentral. Lineage: Bacteria; Pseudomonadati; Pseudomonadota; Betaproteobacteria; Burkholderiales; Burkholderiaceae. RNAcentral also lists the same sequence under 6 other names.